Syngnathoides biaculeatus (alligator pipefish) is the source of this 1945-nucleotide long non-coding RNA. RefSeq lists it as uncharacterized. The record is from RefSeq and is a predicted model, not a curated record. The transcript has 3 exons. Lineage: Eukaryota; Metazoa; Chordata; Actinopteri; Syngnathiformes; Syngnathidae.
CAACAACAAGAGGCUUAAAAACACGACGUAAUCAGCGCAGAGGAAGUGGCAGACGGGCACGUCGCCGACUGCUGUCAAGCCCCCGACAUACCGUCCCUCUGUGCUAUGAUCGGAAUUUCACGUCGGCGCCGACGGGAGGGGCGCUCGGCGGGCAUUCAGCCGAGAGGUCGUGGCGCGGAAGAGGGAGGAAGUGGCUUCUUCGUCGUUUCAAGCGCCGGCGCCAAAGCGACACGGGCGGCGAGAAAAACACACAACAUUUGUUUGUUCUCACACCGUGUCGGCAUCUGUGCGCGAGGAAGAGGAGGAGGAGGAGGAGGAGGAGAAAGAGCGACGACGGGAUGCGCUUCGGAGAGCGCAGGCGGCAUCCUUCCUCCUUGAAGUCAAGCAGGGUUCAGAUACUCGACUGACGCACCAGAUUCACCGAAGACUUGGACUGAACUGCGCGAUCGCAAGCACAGUAAACCACACGGGCUGAGGAAUCCAGUCAAUUGGAUCGCAUCCGACUACGUUCGGAAUCGCGGCGCAAACGUUGUUUGUUAUGUACCUUGUGUUCAAAGGUCACGCUUCAAGUGAACGGGGGAAAACACAACGGCGAAAAUGUUUGGCUUUUUCAGUAAGCGGGAACUUUACCACAUUAAGAAUUAAACAGAAAAUUGCUAACAAACUCCCCGAUAAGUGAAAAGGUUCCUGAAAAACAAACAAUGUGUCAAACAAUGACAAUGAGCGAAAUAUUUAAUGAUACGCGGCUGCGUAAACAUACUGUCGAAAACAUUUACAAUGUGAAAAGCCGAGAACUUCCUGUCCCUUAUCCACAAUAAUCUUGGAGUUCUUUGUUUCUCGUCCUUGGCCCGAACACAUCAAUAUUAAUAUCCUUUAUCAUAUCAGAAGCCCGGGAAUGCACCGGAAUGGUCACAUUCAGAAUAGAGCCUCCUUGUCUUCCAACACAAAACGCCGAAUAACCGUCAAGGUUUGAUGGUACGCAUAGUGAAAGCGUGCUUCUUCUUCUUCUUCUUGUUUUUUUUUUUUUUUUUUUUUUGGCCGCUAACACCUUUAGCUUCCUCGCCAAAGUCGAAGCCUCCGGCAGGAUCGUCUCGCCGGCUGAGCUCGGGCCGCGCAAAUCGCCGGCGCCCGUCGUCCGAGCGAUUUAGUUGUCGCGAAGGCUUCGACUUUGGCGAGGAAGCUAAAGGUGACGUCGGCGGCUUGAAAAAGAAAAAAAAAAAAUGGCAGAGGAAGAAAAGCGAGGACAAAUUUGCCUCUUUUGAUUCUGGAAUGCAUCACACACCGGGUCAAAAAUAUUCCAAUAAAAAGGAGACACUUUCUUUCAAAUUUCAUGCGUAUGGGCUCGUAUCACAAAGACUCGAAUUUGUGGUUUUGUUUAUGACAACUGAAUUAUACGAUUCUUAGUAUAGAAAGUAAUGAAAACACAUUUUAGAGUGACGUUUUUUUUUUAAAUUUGUUUGUAAUUUUGCAGGCUAUUUUUUUGGUACGUGGACGGGACAAACUGGCUCAUCGGGACUCGACAAUUGUAAAAUUCAUUUUCCAUUGCACCACAAAAGGAAAAGUGGAAAUCCAUUCCAGCAGGAUCAAAUCUGCGUACGGUGCAGCAAAUUAAAGGGAACUUGCUUGCCACCAAUAUGGGAAGCCACAUUUAAAUAUGAUCAAAAUAGAAACUAAGGCCAUACACUUUUUUUUUUUUUUUUUUUAUUCAGGUGGGCAAAUUAAACUACAAAUCGACUACGAGCAAAAAGAAAAUAUAAACUUCUCUUAAACGUGAAAAAUGAGUUUAGAGUGUGGUUUGUGCAUUUGUAAGCUAGCAGGCUACAUCCUGGUGUACAGAGAACGUUAAAAACUCAUUUUGGAGUUGACGCCAAAUGACUGAAAUGCUGAAAAGAGACGGAAAACAUCCCGUAACAACGGUGAAAAUAAAUGCAGACGAUAAAAUGAU